GCAGGGUUUAGCUCAGGAGAGUUAAUGGAGGUAGUCAACCCAAACAACCUACAUCUAUUCACACACUUUAUAUACAGCCCUUCAUAUACACAUUAAACACAGUUGCACAUACAAAAAUUACAUAUGCAGUUACAUAUAUGCAUUUGUAAGAAAUCUGCACUUAAAGGGUAACUCCAAGUACCAUGACCACUUCUGGGAUACGAAGUGGUCAUGGUGUCUGGAACCUGUAUGUGCAGCAUUUCGCUAUGAAAUGGACUUGGAGCUAGAUCAAAGUGAGUUUUAGCUUUAUUUCUUUUUAUUUUGGGACAGAGGAGCACAGC
Pelobates cultripes (western spadefoot toad) is the source of this 320-nucleotide non-coding RNA. The record is from the annotation of a GenBank genome assembly. NCBI's taxonomy places the organism in Eukaryota, Metazoa, Chordata, Amphibia, Anura, Pelobatidae.